This 408-nucleotide ribosomal RNA is filed under the name uncultured bacterium. Its description in RNAcentral is "partial 16S ribosomal RNA". It matches the Rfam family "Bacterial small subunit ribosomal RNA", at positions 28 to 526 of the family's 1533-position model. The record is from RNAcentral.
GACGAACGCUGGCGGCGUGCUUAACACAUGCAAGUCGCACGAAGUGGCGAACGGGUGAGUAACGCGUAAUCAAACUGCCCUUCAGAGGGGGACAACAGUUGGAAACAACUGCUAAUACCGCAUACUGAAGGAGGGGAUUGCGUCGGAUUAGCUAGUUGGAGGGGUAACGGCCCACCAAGGCGAUGAUCAGUAGCCGGUAUGAGAGGAUGAACGGACACAUUGGGCCUGAGAAACGGCCCAGACUCCUACGGGAGGAAGCAGUGGGGAAUCGUCCGCAAUGGACGAAAGUCUGACGAAGCAACGCCGCGGGAGGGAGGACGGCCUUCGGGUUGUAAAGCUCUGUUAAUCGGGACGAGGUACCGGAAUAGAAAGCCACGGCUAACUACGUGCCAGCAGCCGCGGUAAUUC